CCUAUAUUGAAGUCCUAACUCCCAGUGCCUCAGAAUGUGACUGUACCUGGACAGGGUCUUUAAAGAGGUAAUUAAGUUAAAAAGAGGCCCUUGGGGUGAGUCCUAAUCCAAUCUGACUGGUGUCCUUAUAAGAAGAGGAGAUUUGGACCCACAGAGACACCAGGGAUGUGCGCCCACAGAAGAAAGUCCACGUGAGGACACAUUGAGAGGGCAGCCUUCCGUAUGACAAGGAGAGAGGCCUCAGGAGGAACCAGCCCUGCCGACACCUCGAUCUUGGACUUCCAGCCUCCAGAACUAUGAGAUAAUGUCUUGUUUAAGCUGCCCGGUCUGUGGUCCUUAGUCAGGGCAGCCCCAGCAGAUGGACAGGGGUAUCUGUAAUUGUAACUAUUCCGGUAUCCAUUCUGGUUACAUUUAUUUUGGAAUCAGACCCCUGGGGUCAAAUCCUGUUCAUGCAUUUAUAACUGUGAUCCUGACAAGUCAUCUAACCUCCCCAAGCCUCAGUUGUUCCAUCUGUACAAUGGGAUGCUUAUGGCACCUGCCUCGUUGGGUUGCUAUGAAGUCUAAAGAGUUCAUGUAGAUUAAGUGCUGAAGAUCACAGCGUUAGGAAGCGUGCAAGCAGGGAUGUGAACACAGGUAGUCUGAUCCAAAACAAUGUGACCAGAAGACCACUAUGGCAGGUCUGUAUUCUUUCCCACAAACUCUCUCUCUCAUUAACAAAAAAUGAACAUCGUGAAGUGUAGGAACAAAAGUAAAAUUGCUCUCUGCGUGUGACUCAGCCUGGACUUGACCUUUUUUUGGCCAGUGAACCCCAGAGGAUUGGGAGUCUGUGUGGCCAUCUGCCCGCUCACUUCAACUCUCUGCAUCUCAACAGGAGCUCCCCUGGACUCAGUCCCCUGCCACCUUCCAUCAAGCACACAGCACAGAGAGGGUAACUGAAAACCCCCAGGAUAAUAGCAGUGAAUUACCUCAGGUGGGGCAAAUGUUGGCAAUGGGAACAAAAAGAGCACGGGCCGUUGCUCGUUAGUCAAACGGAAGCAGUUUCUCUCAUGGCUCAUAACGGCGUGUGAGUUUUGGAAGCUGUGUUCACUCUUUCAAAGUGUUUUGAUGGAGCUUUUCAGGGACACCUGACCUAACAGUGGUGGGCAUGUCCAGGCAGUCCCGUUGCCUGUGCAGGUGCUGAGAUAGGUGUCACCAAGGAGGAAUUAACGUCGAGACGUGGAGAGGGAGCCGCUCUUCGCUUGGCUGGCGCGUGGCUCCCCAGGAUUGGGGCUUCAGCGUAUCCUGGCAGAUUGCUGCUACACGUUGCUGGGUUACAAAAGCCCCACAUCAACAAAACUCCUGCUGAGAAAGAAUCACCAGAUUGAAGCAUCUGCUCCAGAGCCAAAUAGAAGCUACAAAUUGUUAAAGUCCAGAUGACGUCACACUGGGCUCCCACUACAGUUCCGGCUGAUCCCAGGACCUUGAAGUUCCUCUACAGAGAAACUAAUGUCCAGAGAACAUCAAGACACCAAAGCUUCCCAGGCCCGACUCCUCGGCUUCCUGACGUCACAGUCUACCUUCCACCAUGGAGAUAAAGAGGCAAGGACACUCAUCUGAGAAAUCCUGUGUCUCCUCCACUGGAAGCAGCCCCAGACGUGGGCCAAGGGGAAAAUGCCGACCAAGAAGGCCCCUCCACCCCCAAACCCCAAUGAAAACCCCUACCCAUUUCUUAACAAGGAGCAAAGCAAGGGCCGGUGCCCCAAAAGCUGACUUCUGCCUGGCAAAGUAAAGCCUUCCCUUUUUCACCCAAGACUCUGUUCUCGUUAUUUGGAUUGGCAUCGGGAUCAGAGAUCGAACUUUUGGUAACAAUGCUUCUAAAAAGGUUCUUGUAUUUCUUUGAGACCAUUUCUCAGAGUUUCAGAAAAUUGUAUGUAACCCAAGUGACACAGGCUCUUUCAGUGAAACUACUUAGUGUUAACUCUCCCAUUUCCCAGCUGCAGAACAAGAGUGAGGUCAGAGGCCCACUGCAAGGUCAGGCUCGCAUCCUGAGAUCCAGAGUCAUUCAAGGGGAAUCCAUGAGGAAAAAGCAGAAAAGAGACCCUGGGUUGGCAUGUUCUGUCCUAGAAAUUGCUAUGGCAGUUACUAAAACCCCAAGUAAGCCUUCCUCAAGGAGAAGCAGCAGAGCAAAGGCUUACCGCCACUCGGGUGCCCACUCCUGUCACGGCUGGGGCAGGGACGGGCUGCCAGAGCCAAAGCCAGGACAGCCUGCUUGGCCCUGCCCACCACGGCCUAAACUCUGCUGUCCCAGAGUGACUUAGGCAAGUCACUGCCCUCUCUGGACCUUUGCCCUGAGAUGGUGCAUCAGCAGGGAGGACCAGAAGUUCCACAAGGGAGCUGCUGGGUUUAGCAAUGUGAUGUGGUCUCCCCCUACCCUCUACAUUUCAUUGAUUUAUUUUUGAACAGGUCAUGAUAGCAAACACUUUGUGCCGGGCCCUGCUCUAAACCUUUACAUAUAUUAAUUCAUUUAAUCCUUCCAACAACUCUAGAGGGAGAUGCCAUUAUUAUCAUUCCCAUUUAUAGAGGAGGAUGUGAGACACAGAGAGCUUAAGGUUAAAGAUGAACAGAUAAAGAGAUCAAGGCACUGAGAGAUUGCCUUCUCACACUCACUUAGGUGGCAAGGGGCAGAGCCAGGUUAGAAUGCAGGCAGCCUCCCGCCAGCUUAGUGCCCUCACCCUGCAGUCCUGACAGCUCUGUCCUCCAGACUCCCAGUUCCUCUCAACUUCUCUCUCUCGAGGCUACUACUAUCAAUAAUUUUUGUGUAUCUUUUCAAAAAAUGUUGUGUGGCAUUUAUACAUUACAUACACACAUGCACAUAUAUAGUAUAUUACACAUAUAACAUAGACAUAUAUCCUUUCUUUCUUCAGACAAAUAGUAGCUAAUAUACUCUUCCUUUUUGCACCAAAUACAAGGACAUGAUCUUUUUAUGUCAAUUCAUUUAGAGCUGCCCCAUUCUUUUUAGGAACAACAUGGUAUAUCCCAUUGCAUAAACCAUAAUUUUAUAAACCACCGCCUACUGAUCACAUUUAGCUUGUUUCCAUUAUUUUACAAUUACAAAGAACACUGCAGUGAAUAUUCUUGUGGAUACACCAUCUGCACAAGUGAGCCUGUGGCAGGCGGACUGGUCCCCCAGGAUGUCCAUGUUCUAAUUGCUGGAACUUGUGAAUAUGUUACGUUACGUGGCAAAAGGGACUUUGCAGAUGGAAUUACGAUUUGGGACCUUAAG
Molecule: long non-coding RNA, 3262 nt
Organism: Equus caballus (horse)
Lineage: Eukaryota; Metazoa; Chordata; Mammalia; Perissodactyla; Equidae
Source: Ensembl